GAAUGCUGACAUAAGUAACGAUAAAGCGGGUGAAAAGCCCGCUCGCCGGAAGACCAAGGGUUCCUGUCCAACGUUAAUCGGGGCAGGGUGAGUCGACCCCUAAGGCGAGGCCGAAAGGCGUAGUCGAUGGGAAACAGGUUAAUAUUCCUGUACUUGGUGUUACUGCGAAGGGGGGACGGAGAAGGCUAUGUUGGCCGGGCGACGGUUGUCCCGGUUUAAGCGUGUAGGCUGGUUUUCCAGGCAAAUCCGGAAAAUCAAGGCUGAGGCGUGAUGACGAGGCACUACGGUGCUGAAGCAACAAAUGCCCUGCUUCCAGGAAAAGCCUCUAAGCAUCAGGUAACAUCAAAUCGUACCCCAAACCGACACAGGUGGUCAGGUAGAGAAUACCAAGGCGCUUGAGAGAACUCGGGUGAAGGAACUAGGCAAAAUGGUGCCGUAACUUCGGGAGAAGGCACGCUGAUACGUAGGUGAAGUCCCUUGCGG
RNAcentral lists this ribosomal RNA (483 nucleotides) under Escherichia coli. RNAcentral's name for it is "partial 23S ribosomal RNA". It matches the Rfam family "Bacterial large subunit ribosomal RNA", at positions 1292 to 1776 of the family's 2925-position model. Lineage: Bacteria; Pseudomonadati; Pseudomonadota; Gammaproteobacteria; Enterobacterales; Enterobacteriaceae. The record is from RNAcentral.